Molecule: ribosomal RNA, 390 nt
Filed under: uncultured bacterium
Lineage: Bacteria
Description: bacterial SSU rRNA
Rfam family: Bacterial small subunit ribosomal RNA
Source: RNAcentral
GACGAACGCUGGCGGCGUGCUUAACACAUGCAAGUCGAGCGGUAAGGCCCUUUCGGGGGUACACGAGCGGCGAACGGGUGAGUAACACGUGGGUGACCUGCCCUCAGCUCUGGGAUAAGCCUGGGAAACUGGGUCUAAUACCGGAUAUGACUCCAUGACGCAUGUUGUGGGGUGGAAAGCCUUGUGCGGCUGAGGAUGGGCCCGCGGCCUAUCAGCUUGUUGGUGGGGUGAUGGCCUACCAAGGCGACGACGGGUAGCCGGCCUGAGAGGGCGACCGGCCACACUGGGACUGAGACACGGCCCAGACUCCUACGGGAGGCAGCAGUGGGGAAUCUUGCGCAAUGGGCGAAAGCCUGACGCAGCGACGCCGCGUGAGGGAUGACGGCCUGU